Molecule: long non-coding RNA, 1334 nt
Organism: Chenopodium quinoa (quinoa)
Lineage: Eukaryota; Viridiplantae; Streptophyta; Magnoliopsida; Caryophyllales; Amaranthaceae
Exons: 2
Source: RefSeq, a predicted model, not a curated record
GGCGCUGCUGCAUGGCAGGCUUGCUGGGCGCUGAUGCCUGGCAGCGUUGCUGGGCACUGAUGCCUAGCAUGCUUGUUGGGCGCUGAUGCCUACAACUCGCACCAGCACACGUUAGGCCUAGCCCUAGCUUGGAGGGCGGCGAUUUUGACUUAGGCCAACCCAUGGUGGGCGAUAAUCUUCUUGUGCAUUGUAGCCCCUUAUCUUUAUGGGCGAUGAUUCAACCCUCGGCCAAUGGCUUUGGACUUUUUUGAUCGCGUUUGCACGUCUUUGCAACUCAUAAAAGAGGUCGUUUUGGCGCUCAGGUGUCAUGUGGGUGAUGGAGUGUCUCGAGAACCAUAUAUUAUUUUUAAGAAUGCUUAAAAAUGACCCAUCUCGUCACCCACGGAAAGCAAUGUUGUCCGUUAUUUAGUAAAUUUUGACGAAUACUUCGGGAGGCCAUAACUUGGUCCCUGGGUGUCCGAAUCGAACAAACUUUUUUUUUUAACUUGUGUAUUUUUCCGAGCUUCACGUGAUGCCGAAGUUCCAAAGAAGCUUCGGCCCACAAAAUUGCGAAAAAAGUCCUCUAGCAUGGUAAAAAUGCCAUUUUUUCGAUUACGUCUCAUUUUUAGGCCUACCUUGGAAUGGUACGGGCUUGGACCACCCCAUAAUGAGCCCCUAUGACGGGCGAUGAUAUAAUUGAUGCUUUCUAAGAGCCCCUUGGGGGGCGAUGAUAAGUAUACAUACUCUUCUGCAUGAGUAACAAGUGUCUUGUGACACCCUUCCCUAUGUGACACCCUUCCUUCGCAUGAGUAACAAGUGUCCUUUGGCUCAUUUCGAGGCAAAUGUUUCUCUUUAUAUAGCCACAUAAACACACAUUUCUCAUUCACAAUUUCAUUCGCAAAAGAUUUCUAGUGAGAGAAAGUAGUGAUAAAAGUUAGUGUGAGAAAGCGUUUGCAACACUGUUUGGCGGAAGGAAGCUUGUGCGCUCUUGUUCGGAGGUAGUCGAGGCGGUGAUCAUGAUUUAGCAUCAGCAGGAGCUUCAUUUAGCUGUAAGACACUACACUUUAAGGUUUUAAUGGGAAAAUCAUGAAGCCAUGUCAUUUUGAAGAUGAAGAAUGGUGAAAAAAUAAUUAGAAAAGGAAAAGAGACGAAGAAGACAAGAAGUUGAAGAAGGAAGCCAUUUGAGCUCAUAAAAAUGGUGAAAGAAAGUAAUGGGUGAAAAAGAGAGGAGAAGACAGUCAAAAUAGAGAUAAGAAUUAAAAAAAAAAAAAAAGUACUAUACAGCUGUACUACUAACUUUUGUUUAUAAGAUAAGUAAUUUAGUAAAGGGACUUUAUCUUGUUUGUAACUUGCUA